This is a long non-coding RNA of Amblyraja radiata (thorny skate), 116 nucleotides long. RefSeq lists it as uncharacterized. NCBI's taxonomy places the organism in Eukaryota, Metazoa, Chordata, Chondrichthyes, Rajiformes, Rajidae. The transcript is spliced from 3 exons. The record is from RefSeq and is a predicted model, not a curated record.
CAUGGAUUUGAUUUACCCCUUCAUGUUUUCACUUGAUUAUGAACCCCUGGAUAUGUUACAUGCCUUUCUCCAAGUUAAAUUAAAAUCAGCUGUCUGUGGGCACGAAUGCAGUGAGU